This 79-nucleotide small RNA is filed under the name Escherichia coli. RNAcentral's name for it is "partial RtT sRNA". It matches the Rfam family "RtT RNA", at positions 54 to 130 of the family's 130-position model. From Rfam's summary of the family: This family represents a bacterial cis-regulatory element known as RtT RNA. The exact function of RtT is unknown although it is thought that it may be involved in changing the cellular response in relation to amino acid starvation. The record is from RNAcentral. Lineage: Bacteria; Pseudomonadati; Pseudomonadota; Gammaproteobacteria; Enterobacterales; Enterobacteriaceae. RNAcentral also lists the same sequence under 1 other name.
GCCAGCGAGAGAGCGUUGCCGCAGGCAACGACCCGAAGGGCGAAGCGCGCAGCGCUGAGUAAUCCUUCCCCCACCACCA